CGAGACGACGCUGGCGGCGUGCUUAACACAUGCAAGUCGAACGGUAAGGCCCUUCGGGGUACACGAGUGGCGAACGGGUGAGUAACACGUGGGUGAUCUGCCCUGCACUUUGGGAUAAGCCUGGGAAACUGGGUCUAAUACCGAAUAGGACCAUGGACUUCACGGUUUGUGGUGGAAAGCUUUUGCGGUGUGGGAUGGGCCCGCGGCCUAUCAGCUUGUUGGUGGGGUAAUGGCCUACCAAGGCGACGACGGGUAGCCGGCCUGAGAGGGUGACCGGCCACACUGGGACUGAGAUACGGCCCAGACUCCUACGGGAGGCAGCAGUGGGGAAUAUUGCACAAUGGGCGCAAGCCUGAUGCAGCGACGCCGCGUGAGGGAUGACGGCCUUCGGGUUGUAAACCUCUUUCAGCACAGACGAAGCGCAAGUGACGGUAUGUGCAGAAGAAGGACCGGCCAACUACGUG
Molecule: ribosomal RNA, 464 nt
Filed under: uncultured bacterium
Lineage: Bacteria
Description: bacterial SSU rRNA
Rfam family: Bacterial small subunit ribosomal RNA
Source: RNAcentral